This 253-nucleotide ribosomal RNA is filed under the name uncultured bacterium. Its description in RNAcentral is "partial 16S ribosomal RNA". It matches the Rfam family "Bacterial small subunit ribosomal RNA", at positions 524 to 776 of the family's 1533-position model. The record is from RNAcentral.
UACGGAGGGUGCGAGUGUUAUUCGGAAUCACUGGGCGUAAAGAGCACGGAGGCGGAUUGGUAAGGCAGAUGUGAAAUCCCGGAGCUCAACUUCGGAACUGCAUUUGAUAGUGCUAGUCUUGAGUGAGGUAGAGGGGGGUGGAAUUCCCGGUGUAGAGGUGAAAUUCGUAGAUAUCGGGAGGAACACCAGAGGCGAAGGGGAGCCCCUGGGCCUCUACUGACGCUGAGGGGCGAAAGCGUGGGGCGCAAACAGG